GGCGGCGUGGACGGGCCGGCCGGCGGCUCCGCGGUUGAUGUGCGGCGGGCGCGUGCUCAUCGCGUGCGGGCGCUGCUCAGUCAGGACGCCGGCG
Molecule: transfer RNA, 94 nt
Filed under: Dactylosporangium siamense
Lineage: Bacteria; Bacillati; Actinomycetota; Actinomycetes; Micromonosporales; Micromonosporaceae
Description: tRNA-Ser
Source: RNAcentral